This 544-nucleotide ribosomal RNA is filed under the name uncultured bacterium. RNAcentral's name for it is "bacterial SSU rRNA". It matches the Rfam family "Bacterial small subunit ribosomal RNA", at positions 359 to 917 of the family's 1533-position model. The record is from RNAcentral.
GGAUUGCGANUGGGCGAAAGCCUGACGCAGCGACGCCGCGUGCGGGAUGAAGGCCUUCGGGUUGUAAACCGCUUUCAGCAGGGACGAAGCGAAAGUGACGGUACCUGCAGAAGAAGCGCCGGCUAACUACGUGCCAGCAGCCGCGGUAACACGUAGGGCGCAAGCGUUGUCCGGAAUUAUUGGGCGUAAAGAGCUCGUAGAUGGUUCGCCACGUCUGUUGUGAAAAUCCAGGGCUUAACCCUGGACUUGCUGCGGAUACGGGUGAACUAGAGGUAGGUAGGGGAGAAUGGAAUUCCCGGUGUAGCGGUGAAAUGCGCAGAUAUCGGGAGGAACACCGGUGGCGAAGGCGGUUCUCUGGGCCUUACCUGACACUGAGGAGCGAAAGCGUGGGGAGCGAACAGGAUUAGAUACCCUGGUAGUCCACGCCGUAAACGUUGGGCGCUAGGUGUGGGGUCCUUCCACGGAUUCCGUGCCGCAGCUAACGCAUUAAGCGCCCCGCCUGGGGAGUACGGCCGCAAGGCUAAAACUCAAAGAAAUUGACGGA